This 499-nucleotide ribosomal RNA is filed under the name uncultured Metschnikowia. RNAcentral's name for it is "LSU rRNA". It matches the Rfam family "Eukaryotic large subunit ribosomal RNA", at positions 62 to 648 of the family's 3401-position model. The record is from RNAcentral. Lineage: Eukaryota; Fungi; Ascomycota; Pichiomycetes; Serinales; Metschnikowiaceae.
AAACCAACAGGGAUUACCUCAGUAACGGCGAGUGAAGCGGCAAAAGCUCAAAUUUGAAAUCCCCCGGGAAUUGUAAUUUGAAGAGAUUUGGGUCCGGCCGGCGGGGGUUAAGCCCACUGGAAAGUGGCGCCACAGAGGGUGACAGCCCCGUGAGCCCCUUCAACGCCCUCAUCCCAGAUCUCCAAGAGUCGAGUUGUUUGGGAAUGCAGCUCUAAGUGGGUGGUAAAUUCCAUCUAAAGCUAAAUACCGGCGAGAGACCGAUAGCGAACAAGUACAGUGAUGGAAAGAUGAAAAGCACUUUGAAAAGAGAGUGAAAAAGUACGUGAAAUUGUUGAAAGGGAAGGGCUUGCAAGCAGACACUUAACUGGGCCAGCAUCGGGGCGGCGGGGAGCAAAACCACCGGGGAAUGUACCUUUCGAGGAUUAUAACCCCGGUCCUUACUCCCUCACCAUCCCGAGGCCUGCAAUCUAAGGAUGCUGGCGUAAUGGUUGCAAGUCGC